AAAUGAAUUGACGGGACCCCGCACAAGCGGUGGAUCAUGUUGUUUAAUUCGACGAUACGCGAAGAACCUUACCAGGUCUUGACAUCCCCUGCAAAGCUAUGGAGACAUAGUGGAGGUUAUCAGGGAGACAGGUGGUGCAUGGUUGUCGUCAGCUCGUGUCGUGAGAUGUUGGGUUAAGUCCCGCAACGAGCGCAACCCUUAUUGCUAGUUACCAUCAUUAAGUUGGGGACUCUAGCGAGACUGCCAGUGAUAAACUGGAGGAAGGUGGGGAUGACGUCAAAUCAUCAUGCCCCUUAUGACCUGGGCUACAAACGUGAUACAAUGGCUGAAACAAAGGGCAGCGAAGGAGCGAUCUGGAGCGAAACCCAAAAAAGCAGUCUCAGUUCGGAUUGAAGUCUGCAACUCGACUUCAUGAAGUCGGAAUCGCUAGUAAUCGCGGAUCAGAACGCCGCGGUGAAUACGUUCUCGGGGUUUGCACACACCGCCCGU
This 489-nucleotide ribosomal RNA is filed under the name uncultured bacterium. RNAcentral's name for it is "bacterial SSU rRNA". It matches the Rfam family "Bacterial small subunit ribosomal RNA", at positions 903 to 1397 of the family's 1533-position model. The record is from RNAcentral.